Molecule: long non-coding RNA, 634 nt
Organism: Mauremys reevesii (Reeves's turtle)
Lineage: Eukaryota; Metazoa; Chordata; Testudines; Geoemydidae
Exons: 3
Source: RefSeq, a predicted model, not a curated record
UGGAUAGGGAGGAAGCACUAGCCAUACCUGGAGAGGGUUAAAACCCUCACCCUGAGCAGGGAAUCUUCAGCAGGUGUCUGGCAUCACUGCAGUGAUUGCUGGGGAGCCCAGUCAGGGACUGGAUUCAGCUGGAGCUAAUUGCUCGUUACUGGGGAAACCAGGCACUAUAAGAAGGGGGAGCGGGGGUGGGUCAGUCUGGUAUGAGGGUUAGGCUGAGUGAGGGGCCCUGUGCAUUCUGGGAUGGGGCAGAGCUAGACCAGGCUAGAGCCCUCUGGCUUGGUUUAGUGGGGCCAGUUCUCUGGUCUCAGAGGUGAGGCUGUCCCUGUGCCAGAGCUUGGCUUUCCUGACCUGUCAGGGUUUAAGAAGCAAGCGGAGAAGGCACCACUGAAUUCAGAGACCGCUGUGGCUGAGUGUGCUGUUCCUAGGAUGGCUUGGGUCACCACACUGCUGGUUCUGGUAGCCUGUUGGGCAGGUUCCAGCUACCAGUUCACUUUGACUCAGCCACUCGCUAUGUCAGUGACUCCAGGAGAAACUGCCCAACUCGCAUGUGUUCUGAGCAGUGAAGUCAGCAUCAGAGGUAGCAACAUAUGCUGGUACCAGCAGAAGUAAGGGGAGAAACCAAGAUACCUGCUGU